GGGAUGGACUUGUUUCAGAACCUUGAAGAUGUAGAUCUUGUAUGUCUCGACGCUCUUCUUCUUCAUCUUCUUCUUCUUGUCGCCGCCUGCUCCGGCUUCUUUCGGAAGUUUCUUGCCGGCUUUUGGUUUCUUCUCCGCCGGAGCUUUCUCGGCUUUUGAUUUGUCUUCCACUGGCUUCUCGGCGGCUGGUUUCUUCUCCGCUGGCUUCUUCUCUGCUCUCGGCGCCAUUGUUUUGACUUUGUUUUUUUUUUUUCUGGGUGAAGGAAGAAGAAGAAGCACAGAUCUAUGUGGUUUUGGUAUCUUCCUUGACGAAGAUGAGUUUUGGUUUUAUAGUAGUUCGUGUAAUUGAUUUUAUUGGUUCUUAGAUAUUAACGAGGAUCGAUGAGGUGAGAAGAUCUUACCCGUUGAUUUUAUUUUUAAUCGACGGUUUGUAAGAAGUGCUUAUAAAUUAGGAAAACUUAUAAAGCGGGAUCGCUGACGUGUCAAAUAUUUGGUGUAUGUUGGCGCGGCGUUAAAUUCUCCGUUCCCGCUACAUUAUAUUCUACAUGGGCUUUUCUUGGGCCUGAUCCAAACAAAUUAACAAGAACAUAGGCCAACGUCAAAAACCCAAAAACACUAUCUUAGCCGUUUAUUACUUUCCAUCGACUUAUAACAAACAAGUCUCAUUUAGCCUUUUUUACACUCACUAUCGUAAAAAACAUCCAUUGACCGUUAUAUUUUGACCCGGUCCAGCCGGUUUAUCCAAUUGCGAACAUAUAAACCGAAAAAAUUAUUGUUAUGCUUUACUGUGUAUAAGGAGAUGCAUGAUUUGGAUUAUAAAGACGAUCAAACAAAGAUAAGUAAGAAGUUUGUUUGAUCAUAGAAAUCACCAUCCAUCACACAAAAACAAAUUAACAGAAACACAUCUCAUUAUUCGAUCGGUUCAGAUGUGAUUUUUGAAAAAGAAACUUCAUUAUCCAUCUCCAUAAGACCAUAACCAUCUAGUACGUGCAUGCAUGAUAUAAGGUUGCUUUUACGAGCAGAAAUAGAAGACCAUCGUAAUAACCAAAGCUAAAAAGGCAAACAUAGCUAAUAAACAUACAUAAGUCCCCAUAUAUAUAUAAUCCAAACAAGCUAGUCACCAUGCAUGUCACAGAUAAGAUGCCAAGGAAGAUAGCAAUCUCUUCGAAAACCCUAGCGUAUGAUGGACAAAUCAUGAACAAGGCUGAUAUGAAUAAAAAACUGAUAUGUUCUUGUUAAUUUUUAUUAUCUGAGUUUUUUUUUUUUUUGCAGUUAAUGAAAUGAAUCAUACAGAAGAAGAUCAUGGAGGUGGUGAUUAUGAUUAUGAGUUGGAUCAGCUCUUCCUUGUACAUUCUGAUAUUACAUCUUUUCUCCAUCAGGUACACUUGAGUUGGGUCCUUUUGAUAAUCUAUCUGAGAGCUCCUCUGUGUCCUUUGUAUGGUUGAAAAAGAUGAACAAUUUGUUAAUUGAGCCAUGUUUCCAUGUUUUGUCAAUCCUUUUUGGUGAUAUAUGCUCUGUAUCAUGAGUUAUGGCUAAUCAUUUGUUGAAUAUCAGAUUGAUGAGCUUGUUGUGCAAACCAUGAAGCGUAAGACCGUGGGACGAGAGAAGUUGGAUCCUUUAGAUCUGUCUUGUCUGAUAUGCUGUCCACACUUAAGGUAUCAUUUCUUUUUACCUACUGUGUAUUUUUUUUUUUGGGCUUCUUGUGUUAACCAUUUGUUUUAGAACUGUAUUCUAUUUUAAUUAUGCAGCCAUGGUUUCCACGAUUGCAAGAAGUGAUAUCUGAAAAUCUGAAUUCCUUAAUCAUCAGAAUGCGUCAAAGCUGACGGCUAAAAAGAUUAAGAAUUUGAUCAUUGCAAACAUUUUUGAAAUUGAACUGAAACAUAAAAAGACACAAUUUUAACAUCACUAGCUUCAGAUUAUGGUGAUUCAAAGGAAUAUAAGCCAAGAAUCUCAUCAUCUCAUAGAAAAAAAAACAUACAAUAUGAUUUUUAUUAUAAAAUCUAACCAACAUGAAUCAAUUGCAUUACAUUUUUAUAUUUAAUAAAUUGGUGGCCUGAUGAUACCCAAUAGAGCGCAUAAGUUUGUAAGGUAGUCUAAAUACACAGGAACUAAAUACCCCAAACAAUGUUCGGGUACAUCGAAUAGAACGAUACAACAUUCCCUUGUAACGCUCUUGAACUUCAAAUGCUCCACUGACUUAACACAUUGCGGAACUUUUUUAAAACCUUUCAAACAAGCAAAUGGUUUUGGUAGCCACCCUUCAGCUGACACUGGAGCAAACGCAAGUUCAUCAUCUGACUUUGGAGCAAACACAAGACCAUCAUCGUUACCUUUGAUUUGAGAAACUGAUAAUAUUAUUACAACUAUCAUUGAUAAGAUUGAGACAGACAUCUUCCCACUCAUGUUUAAGUGUGUUUGAUUUUUAUAACUUGGAUUUUGUGUAUUGUGAUUAUGACUGUGAGUCUGUGAGACUUUGGGACUAUCAUUCUUAGUAUUUAUAAGGGGAAUUUCUCAAAUUUGACUCAUAUUUAAUGUGAUAUAACUAGAUGGCUCACUCUAGUGAGCCAAAUAUUUUGGAAUAUUCUUUUAUUUGGAUAAAACAGCUAACACUCUAUCUUUUAUAUGAUAAUCACAAAUUAAUUUCCUUUAAAAGAAAUCUGUCCACGUAAUUCCCUUUCUUAACUUUCUUCAAUUGGAAAGAAAUAUAACAAAACAAAGAAACUAAUACAUAGUUUCUCAUCUUUAAGACCAUCCCCAAUGUAUUUAUCUAUUUCUACCUCUAAAAAGGAAUAUUCCAUAUAGAUUAGAUUUUUAAUUUAGUAUUAAUACCUUCUACUUUUAAAAUUUACAAAUUAACCCAUCUAACUUUAACAUUUGUAAAAACUACAAACUAACCUAUUUAUUUAAAGAAUUAUUCUACAAACAAAAAAGUUAAACUCUACAUAAAAGAAGACAUUAUUGAUUUAUUUUGGUUCUAUAUAUAAAAAAUUUAAACUUAAAAUGUUUUUAAAAAUAAUUUUAAAUAUUUUGUUAUAUUAUUAAUUUUUAAAAGUAUUAAUUUUAUUUAUUAUAAUCAUAGAUACCAAAAAAUUAAAAGUUAAAGGAUUCUUUUGUAAUUAAAAAAGUUGAACUCUAAUACUCUAUUAUAGAGGAAAAAAUAGAGUUCAUAUAUAUAUAUAGUAAAAUAUAGCAAUUUUUAUAUUAGAGGUGGAUAUAGAAAUGAGGAGAAGUGAAUUUUAAAAUAGAGUAUAGAGGCAAAUAUAGAGGUGGGUUGGAGAUGCUCUAAAACAGAGAAUACAAUAGAGAAUGAAAAAAAGAAAGCAAAUCAAGACGGUAAGAAUUUGAUCAUUGCAAACAUUUUUGAAACUGAACUGAAACAUAAAAGACACAAUUUUAACAUCACUAGCUUCAGAUUAUGGUGAUUCAAAGGAUUGUGAAUAAGCCAAGAAUCUCAUCAUCUCCUAUAUAGAAUAGAAACAUACAUUUGAUUUUUAUUAUAAAUCGUCUAAAACAUGAAUCAAUUGCAUUACAUUUUUAUAUUUUAUAAUUAAAUUCUUGGCCUGAUGAUACCCAAUGCAUCGCAUAAGAUUUCAAGCGAGCCUAAAAACUCAGGAAAUAAAUCCCCCAAACAAUGGUCGGGUAGAUCGAGCAGAACGCUACAACAUUCCCUUGUAACGGUCUUGAACUUAAAAUGCUCCACUGACUUAACACAAUAGGGAACUCUUUUAAAAUCUUUCAAACAAGCAAAUGGUUUUGGUAGCCACCCUUCAGCUGACACUGGAGCAAACGCAAGUUCAUCAUCUGACUUUGGAGCAAACGCAAGACCAUCAUCGUUACCUUUCGUGAUUUGCAAAACUGAUAAUAUUAUUACAACUAUCAUUGAUAAGAUUGAGAUAGACGACAUCUUCCCACUCAUUUUCAAGUGUUUGAUUUGUAUAACUUGGAUUUGUGUAUUGUGAUUAUGCUGUGAAACUUGGGACAUCAUUCUUAGUAUUUAUAAGGGGGAAUUACUCAAAUAUGACUAAUAUUUGAUGUGAUAUAACUAGAUGACUCACUCUAGUGACCCAAAUAUUUUGGAAAUAUUCUUUAAUUUGGAUAAAACAGCUAACUCUCUCAUCUUUUAUAUGAUAAUCACAAAUUAAAUUUCUUUAAAAGAAAUUUGACCACGUAAUUCUCUUUCUUAACUUUCUUCAAUUGGAAAGAAAUAAAACAAAACAAAGACACUAAUACAUAGUUUCUCAUCUUUAAGACCAUCUCCAAUGUAUUUCUCUAUUUCUACCUCUAAAAAGGAAUAUUCCAUAUAGAUUCGAUUUUUAAUUUAGUAUUAAUACCUUUUACUUUUAAAAUUUACAAAUUAACCCAUCUAUUAGUUUUUAGUAAAAAGGCCCAAACUUUUAGUAAAAGAGCCUAAAUUUUUCAAAAAACUAUUAAAUUUACUUAAAAAACCUCCAUAUAAUUUUAGAAAGUUUUAUAACAUAUUAUAAUUUUUCUUAAGAAGGUCCAAGGGACCAGAAUAAUGUUGUGCCGGGGCUGGUCCUGCAAGCACUCUUUUCCUCCGGUGUCUCUCUUUCUAACAUAUGAACCAGUAAGUUAAUAAACCCUUAGAGCACCCCCAACGGGAGUUCUCCGACCAAUCUCUCACCAUUAAAAUAAUUGAAAAUAUAUAAAAAGAGAGGAAAGAGAGAUGACCGGUUCUCUAAAAAGAACUUUGCCAACCCUCUAAAGAACCUCUCUCGCCACAUGUUUUAAUUUUAUUGGUUCAUCUCUAUUUAUGAAUUAAAUUUAAUUACAUAAUAAAACUAAAAUAAAAAAUAAUAUAUAUUAAUUUCAGAGAUACACUUGGUGAGAUAUCCACCGAUGGUGAUGGCCUUAUGUCAUUCUAAUUAAUAGAAUGGGUUUAAACCGUUUUCGUUUAUAGCUGCAUUUAUAGCUUAAUCCUUUGGUUUGUGAAACAGGAUCCUACAUAUGGCCUUCAAAGUCAAAUCUCUGGUUGGAUAAUCCAAUGCUCAUAUCUGGUGAGAGGAAGGAACUUCAUUUCAUAUCUUGGCAUGCUUGAGUCUAACCGUGUCCAAGUUAUACGGGAACUACCACUUGAUGAUCUUCUUGGAACAAAAGCCUCCACUCCUAUAGAGCUUUCUGUCUAUGAAAGCUUUUUCUAAUGGCAGGUACGUGUUAUGUUUGAUAAUUUUGCAUGAUACUUAUUGAAUCAAUUAAGCUUUUUGUUUUUGUUUUAUCUCAACUAGUUAGUUUUGUUUUCACAGAUGGAGUGGAUUCAGAGGUACUUGAUGAUGAGGAGGAUUGGAGGAUCAUGUUUGGUCUUGUGAAGUAUACCUUUCUACUGGUCAAGGCUUUGAAGAUUUCUCCAUGCAUCUCAAAUACAAAAUUCACGUAAGCAUCUUAGCCACACAUAAAUAAAAACUAAAAUUAUUCAUCGUCUAACCAUUUGAUUCCAAGAAAGUCCUACCUCAGAUUUUGACUCCCAUGCUAUUUUUUUUCCACAGGAUAAGAAUUUAGCUGAAGAAGAAGAAGAUUUCGAAGAAUAUCAAGAAAAGAAAUAUGCAUUUGAAUUUUACAAUAAAAUCUAUCAAAAUGACUUAAACUGUAUUACAUUUAUCUUAAUAAAUUACUGGCCUGAUGAUACCCAAUGCAGCGCAUAAGCUUUUAAGCGCAACGCGAUAGCUAAAACGUACAGGGAAAAAAACCCCUAAACAAUGUUCGGGUAGAUUGAGUAAAACGCUACAACAUUCCUUUGUAACAUUCUUGAAUUGAAAAUGUUUCACUGCUUUUACACAAUUCGGAACUUUUCUAAAAUCUCCCAAACAAGCCAAUGGCUUUGGUAGCCACCCGUCAUCUCCCAUUGGAGCAAACGCAAGAUCUUCUUCUGACAUUGGAGCAAACGCAAGUUCAUCAUCGUUACCUUUCGUGAUUUGAAAAACUGAUAAUGUUACAACUAUCAUUAAUAAGAUAGAGACAUAGACACGUGUUUUUUGCAUGUUCCCACUCAUUUUUUUUAAGUGUUUUGAUUUGUGUAACUUGGAUUUUAUAUUUGUGAUUAUGACUUGAGAGACUGGGACACUUGGGAUUUUAUAUUGUGAUUAUGACAUCUUUUUGAAUAUCCAAGCUAAAAUAACCCAUAUUCUUGUGGAUCAAAAUACUGUUUAACACUUUCUUUUUGUGAUAAUCACAAAAUUAAGUUUCCUUAAAUGAAAUUUGACCACAGAAAUAUAACAUAUAAGAAGCAAAAUACAGCGAAUUUAGUCUUCCAUUGUUUUCUUUCAAAUUGACUUUAAUUUCUUCAAUUGGAAAAAAAUGAAACUAAACAGAGAAUACAGAGUUUCUGAUCAUCUUAGGGAAACUAAGUUUUUGACUAUUGACCAAGACAGAUGUGAUAUCUUGUCACGAGUUUUCUUCAAUUUAAGCUUUUGUCUUGAAUGCAUGAGUUGUUAACUAUAUCCUAAUCUCUCCAUUGUUGUAGAGAAAUACAAGGAAUAAGCAAAAAUAAUCCAAGACAUAAAUUAUAUUAGGGUAGGAAGAGGAGAUACAAGACUCAUAGAAGAUAUAAACUAUAGUAUAAUCAAACUGAUAUAAAAUUAUAUGAUGUUGAGAGACAUUUCUAGUGAUCACACAUUUUAAGAGAAAUUUGAUAUUUUGUCAUCUCUUAGCAUUGUCAAACAUUACAUGGAAGAGAAGCUAAUAAGUUAGCUAGCUUCGAUGACAUUUUAGAUUAGAUAGAUAAAAAUCAUGGGAUGAUGAGACAAGGCUUUGAAGCCUUAGAAAUAACACAAAUCUGAUUCCCAAAGUAUUGUACAUGUAAACUAAUUGAAAAACCAUCACAAAAGCAACACAUCUCAUAGUUUUCUCAUAGACAUUAAGAUAGACAACAACAAUACCAAAUAGAAUCAAGUUUUGGAAGGUGUUAAAAAAAGUUUUGAUAACUGUCAGAGAGGAAACAUAACCACUCCAGAAACAAACUUAUUUCAAGAACCCUGUAAAGGAACGGUUCGUUAUCUUCUUAGUUGGUGCGGCUUUUGAAAACAUCAAGACCCAUUUCGGUUGGAUCGGUUGCUUGAAGCUCCACUUGAAUCCCAUCUAGUUCUCUCUUAAACCUAUCCUUAGAGCUCGCGUAAAUCAUCUUGUCUCUCACUUUAGCAGUGUCUGGAGACCUUUGCCACACGAAAAAAAACAAACACAUUGAAGCAAUAUAAAGGACAUGACUAUGUAUAUAUGUUAGUUGAAAACAGCGAAUUUUUACCACGCGAUGAAGAAGAUCUUGCUCUUCUGGCAAUUCUCAGCAGUGACAAAAUCGUAAUCGUAAAUGCAGUAUCGGCAUUCUUCAGCAGGAAGACUUGCUGCAAAGUCAUCAUAUGAUUGUUCAGGUUCACCAAGUUUCUCAACGAUCACUUGCUUAUCUUCAAUCUUGUAGACUAUGGUACGAAAUGUUCGUUUCGCUUUCAGUUCCAUAAACUUUAGCUUGCAAUCAUCAUGCACAGCCAUUCCCGAUGCUGCGUUUGCCUAUUAUCAUUUUCCAAUACACACAACACAAACACUUGUAAAAGAUGCUCAUCUCUCUCAAAAACACAAAUUUAUAAACCAAUGAUCACCCAAUUUGGAGAUUGUAAAACAAGUUUAGACUUCAAUUGGUGACGAUUCCUGAGAAAAGAAGCAACUCAUAUAUGGAUCGAACUAGCAUAACAACUCAUAUGAACUUCAAGCUGAAGAAACACCAGAUUCCUCAUACUUGAUUUCAAAUUAACUUAAAAGUCUUAGAUAUAUAUAAAUUCCGAUCACACACACACAAACACAAAAGCAUCAAAGAUCCGAGUACAUAGAGUUCAAAUCCCAGAUCUAACGAGCGAGAAGCAAACGAAUUUGAACUCGUAUCGACUAGCAAAGCAAUCAAAAGCUUCAGAAAUCGAAGAAACUUUAAAAAGAGAAGAAGAAACUGAGCUCACCAUGGCUGAAUCAAACCGAUUUCAAAAUUCUGGUAGAAAAAUGAAGAAGACGGAAGAAAGAUAUUUUUCUCCGGUCGACAAAAAAAAAUCAAUGGAGAAAAUUAUGAAUUUGUGUCUUUUUUUUUUUCUUCACUGUUUCUUCUCUUUUUUUUUUUUGGGCUUUGUGUUAGCGUUAUUUGUAAGCUAUCCGAAUCAUUUUAUUAAUAUGGAAACGUAUUUCAUUUUGUUUAUAUGUUUCUUUCCAUUUGGAUAAGAAUAUAUAAUAAAGUUUUUUUAUUUUGCUCACUCUUCACAAAUUAUUAUAAACAUUAUUACCCUACCUUGCUUUAUUGAAAAUGUCAUCGAUUAGGUGAUAAAUUCGUGGACAAAUUCGGUACCGCUUCAUGUUUGGGGAUAUACAAAUAUGGUCAACACAACCAAUUUUUAAAGAUAAUUCUUUCGAUACAAAACCAUAAGAAUGAAUGAAAAGAAUGGUCAAUACGACCAAAUCCGAUCAUAAUCUUCUUAGUUAAUGUAUCUGUAUAGGUCAGUCUGGUCCUGGACAGUUGUUAAAGAGAAACUUUACUCAUCCAUUUCAUAAAAUGAUACCAAAAUGGGUUCAUCAUCUUCAAUAGACGAUUUUGGGUCCUUACACACCAUUUUAGAACAACAUUGAACACAAGAACACCGCGAUAUAAACGGAAGCUGUUUAGGUUUCAUAGAUUCUUCACAGCAAAAUGUAUAAUAUAAAUUGGUAACAUUAUCACUCCGAAACAACAUCAUAUAGAUCUUUCUCAAAGGGAAAAAUGGAUAAUAAACUUUCGGGUUUACUUUUUUUAGUUGGCACGGCUUCUGAAAACAUCGAGGUCCAUCUCGGUUGGAUCAGUUGCCUGAAGCUCUAUUUGAAUUCCGUCUAGUUCCCUCUUGAACCUGUCCUUGGAGCUCGCGUAGAUCAUCUUGCUUCUCACCUUAGCUAUGUCAGGGCACCUUUGCAAAAACACAACAGUACAUAUAUAAGAUGAAAACCAUUAGAGAGAGAGAUAAUGAGAAAGGAAGACACAAGAAUUGAAUAGCUACCAAGUGAUGAAGAAGAUCUUGCUCUUCUGGCAGUUCUCAGCAGUGACAAAGUCGAAAUCGUAAAUGGCGUAACGGCAUUCAUUAGCUGGAAGACAAGCUGCAAACUCAUCAUAGGUUUGGACAGGCUCACCGACUUUCUCAACGACAACUUGCUUCUGCUUCUCUUCGAUCUUGUAAACAAUGAAACGGUGUGACCUUUUCGCCUUCAGUUCCAGAAAUCUCAGCUUGCAAUCAUCAUGCACAGCCAUUCCCGAUGCCGCGUUAGCCUGUUUUAAACCCAUAUAACCAUGAAGAUCAGAACAUCUUUUCACACUACUACAUAAUCAACAGUCUCAAAAACUUGAAUUGAUAAACUCGUGAUAGCAAUUAAGGUCACAUUCUCAAACCUCAACAUGAAAAAGACAGAUAAUGUGAGAUGAAACUCAUGAAUCAAUAGUGGAAACAACAUCCAACAGUUCAAGAAAGAAGUGAUUAAAGAUCAACAUCAAGCAACACAAAAAAAACUAAAGAUCAAAUGGAGUGAGAGUGAGUGAUCGAGGAGAAAUGGAUCAAACAACCACAACAACACCAAAAUUGAUAAAUGUUCAACAAGAAUAAGCCCUAAAUCAAACUGAUUUCGAAUUCUCGCUAUCAAAGAGAAGCUCUCUCACACAGUUUUGAUCCUAGAUCAGUCACACAACGAUCAACAAAAACACCAAAUCUCAGAGAUCUACGAAACCAAAAGUCCAUUAACAGAUCUAACGAAACAACAAAAAUGAGCAAAAGCAAUCGGAACCAGAAGAUUUAGCAAGCGAGAACCAAACACAAAUCGAGAGAGAGGCGGACGCAGUACAGAUCGAGGGAUUGAAGGUAUAAACAAAAUAAGUAGAAAUUGAGCUCACCAUGGCUGGAAACACACUAGUAUCAGAGCGAAGUCGUGCUUAGAAGAAGAAGAAGAAGAUAUUUUUCUUCAGGCGGCUAAGAGAAUCGACAGAGAGAAGAAGACGGUCACCUUUUUUUCUUUGUCAAUUUCUUUUUCUCUCUUUCUUCCUCAAUUUAUUCGGAAGUCCAACCAAUAUUAAUUAUAUUAUUAUUGAAUAUUGUUUUUUUAAUUCAAUACUAUAAUUAGAUUCAUUUUAUUCAACCCAGUCUUUUUGGUAGGUGUUUUAAUUAUAUCAUUGAUUUUUUUUUGUAAAUUAAUUAAAACAUUGACCAAAAAUAUAUACAUGUAAGUUUUUAAAUAUAAAAAUAGAAAUAUAAGUGAUAUUCCGAAUUAAAAUUUUGAAAUCUCAUUAUACCAUUGAAUCAAUAAGUAAUUUGAUGGUCCACAAACUUGAAUUUCGAUAAAUUUUGGUUAAUUCAGAAGAAAUAAAUAAAAAUUAUUAAGUUAAUCUUUAGUUUAAAUAAGUUAAUCUUUAAUUUAAAUACCGAUUUAAGAUUAGAUGGUUAAAAUUGUAUAUAUAAAAAAUAAUCCAAAAAUUAGAGAAAAAUAUCACAAACAAUAAACAAACCACUGCAAUAUAGUUCGACAAAAGUUUUGGGUUCUUUAAACCGUUUACAAAAAUGAUUCUUCUCCUAUAUAGUUUUAAGAAGAUGGAGAGUGGAGACUCUUCAUAAUUUUAUCUACAAGUCUAAACCAUAUUGGUACUUUAUCAUUUUCAAAAGUUUUGAAUACUCUUAGUUGGUUUCCUAUCUUACUAAUAGAUCUACAAAACUUCCAAUACAAAUUAAAUGUUUAAUUAGUACUUCUCUAUUAUAAUUCAAAUACUAGUCCCAUAUAUGAAUGCUGAUAGCUAUUAGCUAAGACUUUUAGAGCCAAAAAAAUCUUUGAACACUUAUACACACAUUUGGUAUGGGUCUUUUGUGCAUAAUGUAAAAGAAAUGUGAAAAUUUUCCAUAUAAAAAAUAAAUAAAAUCAUAUGCCAAAACAAAAUUGUAUAUCGUAUUUUCUUGGCAUAGAGUAUAUAUAUUUUGGUGAACAAAAAAAAAAGAGUAUAUAUAUUUAUUUAAUAGCCAAAUUACAAUAAAUGAGAUUCUUGCAAAAUUCAAAUAAAAAGAACGAGAGGUACGUGAAUCAUAUUGGCUCUUCGGCAUCUCUCAGUUGGCUCUUCCACACUUACGUGAAUCAUAUAUUGGCUCUUCGGCAUGUUACACUAGCCUCACCGCUUAUUAAAUUGAAGCCCAUUACCUAAAUUAGGCCCGAUAUUUAUACUGUAUUUAAACAAAUUAAGCCCAGAUCAGCUCAAGAGCAAACAUAUAGUGAAGACUCAUUACAAAUUGCUUCUAUCCAUUAUUAGUGUUGUAAAACAUGGAACUGAUGAUCUCAGAUCAAUUCUGUAAACAAGUCUACAUGAUUAUAGUAGUGAGUCUCUCUAUACCCAAAUUACAAUCAGUCAUCGGCUUUCGAACUGUUAAUAUUCAUUGUCACAUCCUCUGCAUUCUUGGCAACUUCGACAAAUAUUAGUCUACCAUCUACAAUCUGAAACCAAAGAUACACACAAAAGAACCAAAAUGUAACUUCAGUACAUCUGUCAAGAAGUUCAAUAACGUUAUCAUCACAAUGAACACAGACCAACUUCAAUAUAUCUUCAGACUCUAAUCAGCAUUUCUACAGUAGAUUCUAAUACAAUGGAUCACACAAGUGUCCUGACUAGUGGUGUUGAGGUUAAGGACAAUAUUGUGCCAAGAGACGAGUUUUCGAUAAGUAAACUCAUUACAGUACAAAGUCAAACCUAUUCAAGUGUUAAUGAAAGAUGUUUCAAUUGGAUUUUCUAACCUUCCCAUCUAAGCUUUUCAUUGCCUUUCGAGCAUCAUCUUCAGAUUCGUAGGUGAUAAAGCCGAACCCUUUUGGUCUCUGUGUUUUUGAGUCCCUAAUAAGCCGAGCUGAAACAAACCCACAUCACCAAAUUUAACUAAGGAACAAAAAUACAGCUUCAUCAAACAUAUUCAGUUUCGUGUCUGCACCUUCUUUAAUUUGACCAAACUGAGAGAACAAUUGCCUCAGAGAUUGAUCUGUAGCGUAAGCUGAUAACCCUGCACAAGAUAUAAAUCUGAUCAAACCAAACCAAGCAUACAUAGAAAGAAUCUAAAAAGAGAGAUAAAACAAUAACAUACUGCUUACGAAGAGCUGAGCUGAGACUCUCUUAGCCAUCUUUCAACAACCCCAAACUGUUUCGAAAGAAACCCUUUAAUAAAGAACGAAAUCUAUUUCUAGGUUAAACACUCGAACGAAACGACGACGUUUUGGAGAGAAACACUAAGAUUCCGAUCUACACAACGACGUUUAAUUGAAGCGAGACCGAUACAUUUGCAGUGACAAAGAUAUGAUUUUUAUUAGAACAUUAAACUUUAAUUGAUUUAAGAGAAACAUCGGAUAUGAUUCGAUUACACCCAAAAGAUAACAAAACAGAAAUCAAAAUUACAGAACUUCUAAUAGUCAAAUUCUAAAAAAAAACCCUAAUUUUAACAAACACCGUAAAUCCCAAAUCAUCGAUUCCAACAAAAGAUCCCACAAAUUCAAGAACUGGUGAAUUUAGUCACCGCCUUGGUUCCUUCAGAAACAGCGUGUUUAGCGAGCUCACCGGGAAGAACAAGUCUCACAGCAGUCUGAAUCUCCCGAGAAGUAAUCGUAGGCUUCUUAUUAUACCUAGCGAGCUUGGAUGAUUCAGAGGCAAGCUUCUCAAAGAUAUCGUUGAUGAAGCUGUUCAUAAUCCCCAUAGCUUUGCUUG
Molecule: long non-coding RNA, 12715 nt
Filed under: Capsella rubella
Lineage: Eukaryota; Viridiplantae; Streptophyta; Magnoliopsida; Brassicales; Brassicaceae
Description: long non-coding RNA (CRUB_LNC002713)
Source: RNAcentral